CCGGGCCCGGGGCCCGCGGGGGCCGCGCAGGUCCCGCUGCUCGUCUGGAGCACGGAGCGGGCUCUGUGGCCCCCGCUGGCCGCCCCCGCGGGCCGGGUUCUGUCGGAGCCGGAGCUGCAGCAGCUCCUGGAGCCGGGGCUGCAGCGCGGGCCCCGCACGGUGCUGCUGUUCCUGCAGGACCAGCUCAGCCUGGAGGAUUUCACCGCUUUUGGGGGCGUUUUUGGGAAUGAACCCAACGGAGCCUUCCCCCGGCUGCAGGGUGCCCUGGGCUCGGCGGGGUCGGCGCUGACCCUGCCCUCGGUGGCCGGAGCCGCUGCGGCCGCGCUGCCGCUGACCCUGCAGAGGGCCCUGGGCGCCCCUCCCCCCCUGCGCCUGCCCGGGGGGGCCCUGGG
Pseudopodoces humilis (Tibetan ground-tit) is the source of this 392-nucleotide non-coding RNA. NCBI's taxonomy places the organism in Eukaryota, Metazoa, Chordata, Aves, Passeriformes, Paridae. The record is from RefSeq and is a predicted model, not a curated record.